GCACUGAGUACAGUUGUUGGACCUACUGCUGAACUAUUUCUGGAACAUCAUUUCUGAAAUGGAAUCCCAUUUUUUAGCGAAAUACCUGGAAAAGACAGUAUUAGUGUGUCAUUUUUUCUGUUCACAUGGCCGCUGGCUCCUGUGCUUUCCUCGCUAAACUGAUGUAAUUAAACAGGAUUGUUCGUUUUCCUCCCUGCAGUGCUUCAGCCCUGAAAAGUUUCUUCAAAGCAACUCUCAGACUGUAACUUGUGCAGCUUUGCAGAGCAGAGCUCGCACUGUACUUCAAAGCGGAGAAAACCGUGCAGCUGUUUGGAGCCCGCUUGCCCCAGGAGGUGUCACUGUUGGGACUAGCAGGGUGAGCUCCAGAGCUGCUGUUUAUUUUUUAAAGACUACAUUGACCAUGAGGACUGUACGUAGUUUACAUUCCCAUCUGAUACGUGAAGAAUAUGUUUUUUUGUCAAGGGCUCCUAAAGCUAUUAAACCUUACAGGUAAGUCAUGCAGAUACCCUUACUAAAACCAACACGGCUAUAGGAUUUGGCUAGAACUUGUUUUCAAGAGCACUUAUGUUAUUUA
RNAcentral lists this long non-coding RNA (574 nucleotides) under Struthio camelus australis. RNAcentral describes it as "lncRNA (ENSSCUG00000014933.1)". Lineage: Eukaryota; Metazoa; Chordata; Aves; Struthioniformes; Struthionidae. The record is from RNAcentral.